Molecule: ribosomal RNA, 427 nt
Filed under: uncultured bacterium
Lineage: Bacteria
Description: bacterial SSU rRNA
Rfam family: Bacterial small subunit ribosomal RNA
Source: RNAcentral
UGGGGAAUUUUGGGCAAUGGACGCAAGUCUGAUCCAGCCAUGCCGCGUGCGGGAAGAAGGCCUUCGGGUUGUAAACCGCUUUUGUCAGGGAAGAAACGAGUUUCUCUAAUACAGAGACUUAAUGACGGUACCUGAAGAAUAAGCACCGGCUAACUACGUGCCAGCAGCCGCGGUAAUACGUAGGGUGCAAGCGUUAAUCGGAAUUACUGGGCGUAAAGCGUGCGCAGGCGGUUAUGCAAGACAGAUGUGAAAUCCCCGGGCUCAACCUGGGACCUGCAUUUGUGACUGUAUAGCUAGAGUACGGUAGAGGGGGAUGGAAUUCCGCGUGUAGCAGUGAAAUGCGUAGAUAUGCGGAGGAACACCGAUGGCGAAGGCAAUCCCCUGGACCUGUACUGACGCUCAUGCACGAAAGCGUGGGGAGCAAACA